UUAAUUUAUUUGCUUGUUUACUCAGAAGAUACUAAAGAAAUACAAGAGUUUGGGUCCCCCGGCGGGCGCCUGAGUCCGGGCCCGAAGGCACCGGGGCGGAUCCGCCGAAGCAACGAUAGGUAUGUUCACAGGGGUUUGGGAGUUGUAAACUCGGUAAUGAUCCCUCCGCUGGUUCACCAACGGAGA
Molecule: unclassified non-coding RNA, 186 nt
Filed under: uncultured fungus
Lineage: Eukaryota; Fungi
Description: sequence contains ITS1
Source: RNAcentral